GACGAACGCUGGCGGCGUGCUUAACACAUGCAAGUCGAACGGAAAGGCCCUGCUUUUGUGGGUUGCUCGAGUGGCGAACGGGUGAGUAACACGUGAGUAACCUGCCCUUGACUUUGGGAUAACUUCAGGAAACUGGGGCUAAUACCGGAUAGGAGCUCCUGCUGCAUGGUGGGGGUUGGAAAGUUUCGGCGGUUGGGGAUGGACUCGCGGCUUAUCAGCUUGUUGGUGGGGUAGUGGCUUACGAAGGCUUUGACGGGUAGCCGGCCUGAGAGGGUGACCGGGCACAUUGGGACUGAGAUACGGACCAGACUCCUACGGGAGGCAGCAGUGGAGAAUAUUGCACAAUGGGCGGAAGCCUGAUGCAGCAACGCCGCGUGCGGGAUGACGGCCUUCGGGUUGUAAACCGCUUUCGCCUGUGACGAAGCGUGAGUGACGGUAAUGGGUAAAGAAGCACCGGCUAACUACGUG
Molecule: ribosomal RNA, 468 nt
Filed under: uncultured bacterium
Lineage: Bacteria
Description: partial 16S ribosomal RNA
Rfam family: Bacterial small subunit ribosomal RNA
Source: RNAcentral